UACAGAGGUCUCAAGCGUUGUUCGGAUUCAUUGGGCGUAAAGGGUGCGUAGGCGGCGGGGUAAGUCAGGUGUGAAAUCCCGGAGCUCAACUCCGGAACUGCACUUGAUACUGCCUUGCUCGAGUACUGGAGAGGAGACUGGAAUUUACGGUGUAGCAGUGAAAUGCGUAGAUAUCGUAAGGAAGACCAGUGGCGAAGGCGAGUCUCUGGACAGUUACUGACGCUGAGGCACGAAGGCCAGGGGAGCAAACGGG
This 253-nucleotide ribosomal RNA is filed under the name uncultured bacterium. RNAcentral describes it as "partial 16S ribosomal RNA". It matches the Rfam family "Bacterial small subunit ribosomal RNA", at positions 524 to 776 of the family's 1533-position model. The record is from RNAcentral.